UUAAACAUACGACAUGAACUGAAUUAACCAGUGCGCACGACUGGCAAAAAAAUAAACUUCUUUUGACAACAAGUUUCUAAUUAAAUCAUGGCUACGCCUGGGCAGCGCUAUUAUGAGAGUGAAAGUGGACGUGCUGCUACUCCCCUCAUUCCCAACAUGUAUCAAGUACCUGCAUUGAGUAAUGCAAGAGUGAGAUGACACAUCUCAGCAAGUAAAAUAAUAUCAAACUGUUUAACCACAUAAGAAUAUUGUUUUACCACCACUUGAUUUCACAACCUUCUUAUUACAAAGGUGCAGCACGUAUACAACGUACAACACUCCUAGCUACCACACCUCGCAGGUAGAAACCACAAUAGUAACAUAGUAAUGUCACUCUUCAUAUAUAUACCUCAUGAGUGCAAUAUCUGCAAAUGCAAGGAUGACUUCUGCCUUCAUACCUCUAAGGAUAUGAAGCCGCAUCGUACCCCUCCUCGGGCAACGUACGAUGCUAAAAAUGUACCGGUACAGUCGGACCAUAAGAUCACGACAUAACUUCAGAAUGCAAGAUGGAUGAUGCAAUGUGCAUGACAUGCCUACAACACUUCAUAUAACGUGAUUCAAAAAAAAUACUUCAACUCCAUCCAUGAUGGGAAUCAACCACAUAUAUCAUUACCAAAUCAUGAUCAUCCACAAUAUUAGACAAUUGAGAAUUAAUACUUUCGAACAAAUAAACUUCAUCAUAGAAUUCAAUGAUUAACAUAUUUAAAACUUAUGCAUACUCAAUGACAGGGAAUAGGAUGCAAACCAAAUGGUAGCAACCACAACUGUAUUUACUUGCCUUUACCGGAAGUUUGGGCAAAUCCCUAAGUACGAUCCGGAAGUCCACCACCUGUUUUUGACACACAACUUAGUGCACCAAUUUCACAUAACCAGGCUCAUAAACGACGCCGCACCUACGCACAAACUCAAACCCCGCCGCGGGUUACAUCUCUCCCCACACCCACCAAACUGCAGCGGCGCUGAUUAAUAAUUUCAUAACUUCAAAAUUAUGACAGCAUUGGUAACAAACAAAAACUCCAGAGGCAUCUACAUAAAAUUCCCCACAAGUUUUGUAUACAAUUUAUAAUUAAAUUCCAACAUCUAAUUAGCCCAAAACAGUUCACAAGAUGAACCCUGUAAUCUGUUUUCUCCUCUUUUGGACAGCGACAUACCCGGAUUCAAACAGCGAUAUCUUUUAAAAUAUAAUUCCAAUUCAAGCGCAUAAGUACUCAUUGGAAAGAUAAGACAAAGCCAUACAUGAUUAUCAUACUGGUUAGCACUAAUUAACCACGAAAAAUUCCCAGAAAUUACUAAUACUACUGCUGUUCACCCACCUGAAAAAUCUGUUUUUUUUUACAGCAACAUACCCGGAUUCAAACAGCGAUAUCUUUUAAAAUAUAAUUCCAAAUCAAGCACAUAAGUACUCAUUGGAAAGAUAAGACAAAGCCCUACAUGAUUAUAAUACUGGUUAAUACUAAUUACCCACGAAAAAUUCCCAGAAACUGCUAAUACUACUGCUGUUCACCCACCUGAAAAAUCUGUUUUUUUGGACAGCAACAUACCCGGAUUCAAACAACGAUAUCUCCUAAAUUAUAACUCCGAAUCGAGCGCAUAAGUACUCGUUGGAAAGGUAUGACAAAGCUCUACAUGAUUAUCCCACUGAUUCCCACUAAUUACCCAACGAAAAUUCCCAGAAAUCCCUAGAACUACUGCUGUUCACCCACUCACAAAAUUCCUGGACAGCACCUCUACCGAUUCGCAAAGAUAAACACAUAAUCCAAUUGAUUGCAGCACAAAAACAACAAAAGUUAAUCACAAAUUCACCUUAGGUUCUUCCCUUCCUCCUUCCUUCUUCCUCCCUCCAAACUCCAAUUGAGAUCGCAGCCACACGACGGAGAACCUCACGGGAGGGCUGCACCUUGGAGGAGGGGGAGAAAUGGGGGGGGGGCGGCUAGGGUUUUGGGUGGUGAGGGCUGCAAAGGUUUGAGGAGGAAGAAGAUGGGAGAGGGGGG
This 2030-nucleotide long non-coding RNA is filed under the name Zea mays. RNAcentral's name for it is "long non-coding RNA (ZMAY_LNC000963)". Lineage: Eukaryota; Viridiplantae; Streptophyta; Magnoliopsida; Poales; Poaceae. The record is from RNAcentral.